Molecule: ribosomal RNA, 497 nt
Filed under: uncultured bacterium
Lineage: Bacteria
Description: partial 16S ribosomal RNA
Rfam family: Bacterial small subunit ribosomal RNA
Source: RNAcentral
GAUGAACGCUGGCGGCGUGCCUAAUACAUGCAAGUCGAGCGGACAGACGAGGAGCUUGCUCCUCUGACGUUAGCGGCGGACGGGUGAGUAACACGUGGAUACCCUAUCUAUAAGACUGGGAUAACUUCGGGAAACCGGAGCUACUACCGGAUAAUAUAUUGAACCGCAUGGUUCAAUAGUGAAAGACGGUUUUGAUGUCACUUAUAGAUGGAUCCGCGCCGCAUUAGCUAGUUGGUAAGGUAACGGCUUACCAAGGCAACGAUGCGUAGCCGACCUGAGAGGGUGAUCGGCCACACUGGAACUGAGACACGGUCCAGACUCCUACGGGAGGCAGCAGUAGGGAAUCUUCCGCAAUGGGCGAAAGCCUGACGGAGCAACGCCGCGUGAGUGAUGAAGGUCUUCGGAUCGUAAAACUCUGUUAUUAGGGAAGAACAAAUGUGUAAGUAACUAUGCACGUCUUGACGGUACCUAAUCAGAAAGCCCCGGCUAACUACGUG